RNAcentral lists this ribosomal RNA (744 nucleotides) under uncultured soil bacterium. Its description in RNAcentral is "bacterial SSU rRNA". It matches the Rfam family "Bacterial small subunit ribosomal RNA", at positions 30 to 769 of the family's 1533-position model. The record is from RNAcentral.
UGAACGCUGGCGGCAUGCCUUACACAUGCAAGUCGAACGGCAGCGCGGGGCAACCUGGCGGCGAGUGGCGAACGGGUGAGUAAUAUAUCGGAACGUGCCCUGGAGUGGGGGAUAACGCAGCGAAAGUUGCGCUAAUACCGCAUACGAUCUAAGGAUGAAAGCGGGGGAUUCGCAAGAACCUCGUGCUCCUGGAGCGGCCGAUAUCUGAUUAGCUAGUUGGUGGGGUAAAGGCCUACCAAGGCAUCGAUCAGUAGCUGGUCUGAGAGGACGACCAGCCACACUGGAACUGAGACACGGUCCAGACUCCUACGGGAGGCAGCAGUGGGGAAUUUUGGACAAUGGGCGAAAGCCUGAUCCAGCAGUGCCGCGUGAGUGAAGAAGGCCUACGGGUUGUAAAGCUCUUUUGUCAGGGAAGAAACGGUAUGGGCUAAUAUCCCGUACUAAUGACGGUACCUGAAGAAUAAGCACCGGCUAACUACGUGCCAGCAGCCGCGGUAAUACGUAGGGUGCAAGCGUUAAUCGGAAUUACUGGGCGUAAAGCGUGCGCAGGCGGUUUUGUAAGUUUGUCGUGAAAGCCCCGGGCUCAACCUGGGAAUUGCGAUGAAGACUGCAAGGCUUGAAUCUGGCAGAGGGGGGUAGAAUUCCACGUGUAGCAGUGAAAUGCGUAGAGAUGUGGAGGAACACCGAUGGCGAAGGCAGCCCCCUGGGUCAAGAUUGACGCUCAUGCACGAAAGCGUGGGGAGC